AGGCUCACGCGCACGGGAGAGGUGGAUAUUUGACGCGUGAUAAAAGGCCUCGGGUUUAAAUACUUUAGCGGGGAGGAAGGGAGUAAAGUUAAUACCUUUGCUCAUUGACGUUACCCGCAGAAGAAGCACCGGCUAACUCCGUGCCAGCAGCCGCGGUAAUA
This 161-nucleotide ribosomal RNA is filed under the name uncultured Pseudomonadota bacterium. Its description in RNAcentral is "uncultured proteobacterium partial 16S ribosomal RNA". The stretch from base 37 to 161 matches the Rfam family "Bacterial small subunit ribosomal RNA", at positions 401 to 525 of the family's 1533-position model. The record is from RNAcentral. Lineage: Bacteria; Pseudomonadati; Pseudomonadota.